AGGGUUUGAUCAUGGCUCAGAACGUACGCUGGCGGCACGCCUAACACAUGCAAGUCGAACGAAGUAGCAAUACUUAGUGGCAGACGGGUGAGUAACAUGUGGGUAUCUGCCCUUUGGCCUGGAAUAACACGAGGAAACUUGUGCUAAUACCGGAUAAGUCUUUACGGAGAAAGCUUUAUGCACCAUUGGAUGAGCCCGCACUUGAUUAGUUUGUUGGUGGGGUAAUGGCUUACCAAGACUGUGAUCAAUAGCUGAUUUGAGAGGAUGAUCAGCCACAUUGGGACUGAGACACGGCCCAAACUCCUACGGGAGGCAGCAGUGGGGAAUCUUGCACAAUGGAGGAAACUCUGAUGCAGCGAUGCCGCGUGAGUGAAGAAGGCCCUUGGGUUGUAAAGCUCUUUCGUCGGGGAAGAAAAUGACUGUACCCGAAUAAGAAGGUCCGGCUAACUUCGUGCCAGCAGCCGCGGUAAUACGAAGGGACCUAGCGUAGUUCGGAAUUACUGGGCUUAAAGAGUUCGUAGGUGGUUGAAAAAGUUGGUGGUGAAAUCCCAGAGCUUAACUCUGGAACUGCCAUCAAAACUUUUCAGCUAGAGUUUGAUAGAGGAAAGCAGAAUUUCUAGUGUAGAGGUGAAAUUCGUAGAUAUUAGAAAGAAUACCAAUUGCGAAGGCAGCUUUCUGGAUCAUUACUGACGCUGAGGAACGAAAGCAUGGGUAGCGAAGAGGAUUAGAUACCCUCGUAGUCCAUGCCGUAAACGAUGUGUGUUAGACGUUGGAAAUUUAUUUUCAGUGUCGCAGCGAAAGCGAUAAACACACCGCCUGGGGAGUACGACCGCAAGGUUAAAACUCAAAUGAAUUGACGGGGACCCGCACAAGUAGUGGAGCAUGUGGUUUAAUUCGAAGAUACGCGCAGAACCUUACCAACACUUGACAUGUUCGUCGCGACUUUAAGAGAUUAAAGUUUUCGGUUCGGCCGGACGAAACACAGGUGCUGCAUGGCUGUCGUCAGCUCGUGUCGUGAGAUGUUGGGUUAAGUCCCGCAACGAGCGCAACCCUCACUUUUAGUUGCCAUCAUUAAGUUGGGCACUCUGAAAGAACUGCCAGUGAUAAGCUGGAGGAAGGUGGGGAUGACGUCAAGUCCUCAUGGCCCUUACGUGUUGGGCUACACACGUGCUACAAUGGUAUCUACAACAGGAAGCGAAACAGCGAUGUUAAGCAAAUCCUUAAAAGAUACCUCAGUUCGGAUUGCACUCUGCAACUCGAGUGCAUGAAGCUGGAAUUACUAGUAAUCGUGGAUCAGCGUGCCACGGUGAAUGCGUUCCCGGGUCUUGUACACACCGCCCGUCACACCAUGGGAGUUGGUUCUACCUUAAGGCAAGGUUUAAUACCCUUGACCACGGUAUAGUCAGCGACUGGGGUGAAGUCAUAACAAGGUAACCGUA
This 1439-nucleotide ribosomal RNA is filed under the name uncultured bacterium. RNAcentral describes it as "bacterial SSU rRNA". It matches the Rfam family "Bacterial small subunit ribosomal RNA". The record is from RNAcentral.